GACGAACGCUGGCGGCGUGCUUAACACAUGCAAGUCGAACGGAAAGGCCCUGCUUUUGUGGGGUGCUCGAGUGGCGAACGGGUGAGUAACACGUGAGUAACCUGCCCUUGACUUUGGGAUAACUUCAGGAAACUGGGGCUAAUACCGGAUAGGAGCUCCUGCUGCAUGGUGGGGGUUGGAAAGUUUCGGCGGUUGGGGAUGGACUCGCGGCUUAUCAGCUUGUUGGUGGGGUAGCGGCUUACCAAGGCUUUGACGGGUAGCCGGCCUGAGAGGGUGACCGGCCACAUUGGGACCGAGAUACGGCCCAGACUCCUACGGGAGGCAGCAGUGGGGAAUAUUGCACAAUGGGCGGAAGCCUGAUGCAGCAACGCCGCGUGCGGGAUGACGGCCUUCGGGUUGUAAACCGCUUUCGCCUGUGACGAAGCGUGAGUGACGGUAAUGGGUAAAGAAGCACCGGCUAACUACGUG
RNAcentral lists this ribosomal RNA (468 nucleotides) under uncultured bacterium. RNAcentral describes it as "partial 16S ribosomal RNA". It matches the Rfam family "Bacterial small subunit ribosomal RNA", at positions 28 to 507 of the family's 1533-position model. The record is from RNAcentral.